Capsicum annuum is the source of this 78-nucleotide small nucleolar RNA. The record is from RefSeq and is a predicted model, not a curated record. NCBI's taxonomy places the organism in Eukaryota, Viridiplantae, Streptophyta, Magnoliopsida, Solanales, Solanaceae.
AAAAAUGUUGAAAUGGUGAUCGCACUGGGCCCUAAAUCUUUUGAUGGACAAUGCAGCCUAGGAAGCUAUGUCUGAUCA